GAUUGAACGCUGGCGGCAGGCCUAACACAUGCAAGUCGAGCGGUAGCACAGAGAGCUUGCUCUCGGGUGACGAGCGGCGGACGGGUGAGUAAUGUCUGGGAAACUGCCUGAUGGAGGGGGAUAACUACUGGAAACGGUAGCUAAUACCGCAUAACGUCGCAAGACCAAAGUGGGGGACCUUCGGGCCUCAUGCCAUCAGAUGUGCCCAGAUGGGAUUAGCUAGUAGGUGGGGUAAUGGCUCACCUAGGCGACGAUCCCUAGCUGGUCUGAGAGGAUGACCAGCCACACUGGAACUGAGACACGGUCCAGACUCCUACGGGAGGCAGCAGUGGGGAAUAUUGCACAAUGGGCGCAAGCCUGAUGCAGCCAUGCCGCGUGUGUGAAGAAGGCCUUCGGGUUGUAAAGCACUUUCAGCGGGGAGGAAGGCGAUAAGGUUAAUAACCUUGUCGAUUGACGUUACCCGCAGAAGAAGCACCGGCUAACUCCGUGCCAGCAGCCGCGGUAAUACGGAGGGUGCAAGCGUUAAUCGGAAUUACUGGGCGUAAAGCGCACGCAGGCGGUCUGUCAAGUCGGAUGUGAAAUCCCCGGGCUUAACCUGGGAACUGCAUUCGAAACUGGCAGGCUAGAGUCUUGUAGAGGGGGGUAGAAUUCCAGGUGUAGCGGUGAAAUGCGUAGAGAUCUGGAGGAAUACCGGUGGCGAAGGCGGCCCCCUGGACAAAGACUGACGCUCAGGUGCGAAAGCGUGGGGAGCAAACAGGAUUAGAUACCCUGGUAGUCCACGCCGUAAACGAUGUCGAUUUGGAGGUUGUGCCCUUGAGGCGUGGCUUCCGGAGCUAACGCGUUAAAUCGACCGCCUGGGGAGUACGGCCGCAAGGUUAAAACUCAAAUGAAUUGACGGGGGCCCGCACAAGCGGUGGAGCAUGUGGUUUAAUUCGAUGCAACGCGAAGAACCUUACCUGGUCUUGACAUCCACAGAACUUUCCAGAGAUGGAUUGGUGCCUUCGGGAACUGUGAGACAGGUGCUGCAUGGCUGUCGUCAGCUCGUGUUGUGAAAUGUUGGGUUAAGUCCCGCAACGAGCGCAACCCUUAUCCUUUGUUGCCAGCGGUCCGGCCGGGAACUCAAAGGAGACUGCCAGUGAUAAACUGGAGGAAGGUGGGGAUGACGUCAAGUCAUCAUGGCCCUUACGACCAGGGCUACACACGUGCUACAAUGGCAUAUACAAAGAGAAGCGACCUCGCGAGAGCAAGCGGACCUCAUAAAGUAUGUCGUAGUCCGGAUUGGAGUCUGCAACUCGACUCCAUGAAGUCGGAAUCGCUAGUAAUCGUAGAUCAGAAUGCUACGGUGAAUACGUUCCCGGGCCUUGUACACACCGCCCGUCACACCAUGGGAGUGGGUUGCAAAAGAAGUAGGUAGCUUAACCUNGCGGGAGGGCGCUUACCACUUUGUGAUCCAUGACUGGGGUGAAGUCGUAACAAGG
Molecule: ribosomal RNA, 1478 nt
Filed under: uncultured bacterium
Lineage: Bacteria
Description: bacterial SSU rRNA
Rfam family: Bacterial small subunit ribosomal RNA
Source: RNAcentral